This 26-nucleotide non-coding RNA is filed under the name Gallus gallus (chicken). RNAcentral also lists the same sequence under 2 other names. Lineage: Eukaryota; Metazoa; Chordata; Aves; Galliformes; Phasianidae. The record is from RNAcentral.
CGGCGGCUUUGGUGACUCUAGAUAAC